This 503-nucleotide ribosomal RNA is filed under the name uncultured bacterium. RNAcentral's name for it is "partial 16S ribosomal RNA". It matches the Rfam family "Bacterial small subunit ribosomal RNA", at positions 30 to 523 of the family's 1533-position model. The record is from RNAcentral.
AUUGAACGCUGGCGGCAGGCUUAACACAUGCAAGUCGAGCGGGGUGAUGGUGCUUGCACUAUCACUUAGCGGCGGACGGGUGAGUAAUGCUUAGGAAUCUGCCUAUUAGUGGGGGACAACAUCUCGAAAGGGAUGCUAAUACCGCAUACGUCCUACGGGAGAAAGCAGGGGAUCACUCGUGACCUUGCGCUAAUAGAUGAGCCUAAGUCGGAUCAGCUAGUUGGUGGGGUAAAGGCCUACCAAGGCGACGAUCUGUAGCGGGUCUGAGAGGAUGAUCCGCCACACUGGGAAUGAGACACGGCCCAGACUCCUACGGGAGGCAGCAGUGGGGAAUAUUGGACAAUGGGGGGAACCCUGAUCCAGCCAUGCCGCGUGUGUGAAGAAGGCCUUAUGGUUGUAAAGCACUUUAAGCGAGGAGGAGGCUCUUUUGGUUAAUACCCAAGAUGAGUGGACGUUACUCGCAGAAUAAGCACCGGCUAACUCUGUGCCAGCCGCCGCCGUAA